Long non-coding RNA from Brassica oleracea var. oleracea, 599 nucleotides. RefSeq lists it as uncharacterized. NCBI's taxonomy places the organism in Eukaryota, Viridiplantae, Streptophyta, Magnoliopsida, Brassicales, Brassicaceae. The transcript has 2 exons. The record is from RefSeq and is a predicted model, not a curated record.
AAAAAAUGGGAAAAUAUUUACUUUUUUUUUGUUAUCCUCAUUUCCUUUGAUUCUAUAAACUCGUUGAUGCCUCCUCUAUUCAGAAAAUUCAAUGUUGAAAUCGUAAACAAGUUAGGGUUUAACAAGAAACUCAAGGUUCAUUGCAAGAGCGGAAGUCAUGAUUUUCCGAUUACGUAUCUUAAUAUCGGCGAAAGUUUUCAAUUUAAAUUUACAAUCCUCCUAACUACUCUAUAUUGGUGCAAUUUGUGGCAGGGCCCAAAUUACAAACACCAUGUGGUUUUUGAUGCGUUUCUUCCGGACAAAGAUUUUAUAGAUGGUACAUGUACUGGAAUGCACCCUAAUGUAUGUAUGUGGAUCGCAAAGGAAGAUGGAGCCUAUGUCCUCAACAAGAAAUUUCACGGAGAAUAUUUCAUGUAUAAAUGGGAUGCUCCCACAAGAAACACUUCAGAGGUUGCACCUGCGAAUGAAUAUGAAUUUAAUCAUGUAUAAAUAUAUAUCGUACAAGUGGAUAACUUGUUUUUGGGUGGUCAAUUCUUAAUAUUGAAACCGUUAUGCUGUCGCUUUGGAUAAAUUAUCAAAUUAAAUAACUUUUAUUCCAG